Molecule: ribosomal RNA, 145 nt
Filed under: Carnobacterium divergens
Lineage: Bacteria; Bacillati; Bacillota; Bacilli; Lactobacillales; Carnobacteriaceae
Description: partial 16S ribosomal RNA
Rfam family: Bacterial small subunit ribosomal RNA
Source: RNAcentral
UUAUAUGAGAGUUUGAUCCUGGCUCAGGACGAACGCUGGCGGCAUGCCUAAUACAUGCAAGUCGAACGCACGAAGUUGAAAAGCUUGCUUUUCGACCAAGUGAGUGGCGGACGGGUGAGUAACACGUGGGUAACCUGCCCAUAAG